Molecule: non-coding RNA, 582 nt
Organism: Diceros bicornis minor
Lineage: Eukaryota; Metazoa; Chordata; Mammalia; Perissodactyla; Rhinocerotidae
Source: the annotation of a RefSeq genome assembly
AUGAGAUCAGUGACAGGAAUAACUAUUCUAAUUUUUGGUAUUAUGAGUGAUGCUAAAACCACACAGAGAAGUGCAAUGGAGAAUACUGAAGAAGGACCUGUGCACCUGCCCUGUAACCACUCCACAAUCAGUGGAAGUGAGUAUGUCUAUGAGUACAUAUACUGGUAUCUACAGAUUCCUCACCAGGGCCCACAGUAUGUGAUUCAUGGUCUAAAAAGCAAUGUGACCAAUGGAAUGACCUCUUUGACCAUCGCAACAGACAGAAAGUCCAGUACCUUGAUCCUGCCCCAGGUCACCCUGAGAGACACCACUGUGUACUACUGCAUCGUGAGAGGCACACUGGGACAGAUGGGGCUGCGCCCAUGCAAUAUCUCCCUGGUGGGGAAGGGAAGCAGCAGCAGCCGUCCAAAGAGGCCACUGCAUGAGAAUGAGCAGAAGCCCAAGAGAAGAAGAAGAAAAGCAAAGGAGGAAAAAAGGAAAAUGACUAAAGAUAAGAUAGUGAGGAAAUCAAGGAGGAAUGAAAGGAAUAAAGAGGAUGAGGAAGAAGGGCUUAUAUUAUUGAAGGGACUGAGAAGCUUAUGA